UCCAGAGGGGGCAAGCGUUGUUCGGAAUUACUGGGCGUAAAGGGCGCGUAGGCGGCCUUCUAAGUCGAACGUGAAAUCCCCGGGCUCAACCCGGGAACUGCGUCCGAUACUGGAAGGCUUGAAUCCGGGAGAGGGAUGCGGAAUUCCAGGUGUAGCGGUGAAAUGCGUAGAUAUCUGGAGGAACACCGGUGGCGAAGGCGGCAUCCUGGACCGGUAUUGACGCUGAGGCGCGAAAGCCAGGGGAGCAAACGGG
Molecule: ribosomal RNA, 253 nt
Filed under: uncultured bacterium
Lineage: Bacteria
Description: partial 16S ribosomal RNA
Rfam family: Bacterial small subunit ribosomal RNA
Source: RNAcentral